UACAGAGGUCUCAAGCGUUGUUCGGAUUCACUGGGCUUAAAGGGCGCGUAGGCGGGCUGCCAAGUCCGGGGUGAAAGCCCCCCGCUCAACGGGGGAACGGCCUUGGAUACUGGCGGACUGGAGGAAGGUAGGGGCAGAUGGAACUCUCGGUGGAGCGGUGAAAUGCGUAGAUAUCGGGAGGAACGCCGGUGGCGAAAGCGAUCUGCUGGACCUUUUCUGACGCUGAGGCGCGAAAGCCAGGGGAGCAUACGGG
This 253-nucleotide ribosomal RNA is filed under the name uncultured bacterium. Its description in RNAcentral is "partial 16S ribosomal RNA". It matches the Rfam family "Bacterial small subunit ribosomal RNA", at positions 524 to 776 of the family's 1533-position model. The record is from RNAcentral.